UGAUGGAGAUAGCCAAAGCCAUGAGGC
This 27-nucleotide non-coding RNA is filed under the name Homo sapiens (human). The record is from RNAcentral. Lineage: Eukaryota; Metazoa; Chordata; Mammalia; Primates; Hominidae.